UGUUUCGGCUAGGGGGUCAUCCCGACUUACCAACCCGAUGCAAACUACGAAUACCGAAGAAUGUUAUCACGGGAGACACACGGCGGGUGCUAACGUCCGUCGUGAAGAGGGAAACAACCCAGACCGCCAGCUAAGGUCCCAAAGUCAUGGUUAAGUGGGAAACGAUGUGGGAAGGCACAGACAGCCAGGAUGUUGGCUUAGAAGCAGCCAUCAUUUAAAGAAAGCGUAAUAGCUCACUGGUCGAGUCGGCCUGCGCGGAAGAUGUAACGGGGCUAAACCAUGCACCGAAGCUGCGGCAGCGACACUAUGUGUUGUUGGGUAGGGGAGCGUUCUGUAAGCCUGCGAAGGUGACCUGUGAGGGUUGCUGGAGGUAUCAGAAGUGCGAAUGCUGACAUAAGUAACGAUAAAGCGGGUGAAAAGCCCGCUCGCCGGAAGACCAAGGGUUCCUGUCCAACGUUAAUCGGGGCAGGGUGAGUCGACCCCUAAGGCGAGGCCGAAAGGCGUAGUCGAUGGGAAACAGGUUAAUAUUCCUGUACUUGGUGUUACUGCGAAGGGGGGACGGAGAAGGCUAUGUUAGCCGGGCGACGGUUG
This 591-nucleotide ribosomal RNA is filed under the name Klebsiella pneumoniae. RNAcentral describes it as "partial 23S ribosomal RNA". It matches the Rfam family "Bacterial large subunit ribosomal RNA", at positions 911 to 1504 of the family's 2925-position model. The record is from RNAcentral. Lineage: Bacteria; Pseudomonadati; Pseudomonadota; Gammaproteobacteria; Enterobacterales; Enterobacteriaceae. RNAcentral also lists the same sequence under 1 other name.